CCUACGGGGUGCACCAGUGGGGAAUAUUGCACAAUGGGCGCAAGCCUGAUGCAGCCAUGCCGCGUGUAUGAAGAAGGCCUUCGGGUUGUAAAGUACUUUCAGCGGGGAGGAAGGCGAUAAGGUUAAUAACCUUGUCGUUUGACGUUACCCGCAGAAGAAGCACCGGCUAACUCCGUGCCAGCAGCCGCGGUAAUACGGAGGGUGCAAGCGUUAAUCGGAAUUACUGGGCGUAAAGCGCACGCAGGCGGUCUGUCAAGUCGGAUGUGAAAUCCCCGGGCUCAACCUGGGAACUGCAUUCGAAACUGGCAGGCUAGAGUCUUGUAGAGGGGGGUAGAAUUCCAGGUGUAGCGGUGAAAUGCGUAGAGAUCUGGAGGAAUACCGGUGGCGAAGGCGGCCCCCUGGAUAAAGACUGACGCUCAGGUGCGAAAGCGUGGGGAGCAAACAGGAUUAGAUACCCUCGUAGUC
Molecule: ribosomal RNA, 465 nt
Filed under: uncultured bacterium
Lineage: Bacteria
Description: bacterial SSU rRNA
Rfam family: Bacterial small subunit ribosomal RNA
Source: RNAcentral